RNAcentral lists this unclassified non-coding RNA (347 nucleotides) under uncultured Diversisporales. RNAcentral's name for it is "sequence contains ITS1". The stretch from base 1 to 105 matches the Rfam family "5.8S ribosomal RNA", at positions 50 to 154 of the family's 154-position model. The record is from RNAcentral. Lineage: Eukaryota; Fungi; Glomeromycota; Glomeromycetes; Diversisporales.
GAAAUGCGAUACGUAGUGUGAAUUGCAGAAUUCCGUGAAUCAUCGAAUCUUUGAACGCAAAUUGUACUUUCCAGUAAUCUGGGAAGUAUGCUUGGUUGAGGGUCAUUAAAAUAACAUUCGUGAAUUUUUUUGCGGAUUUGAGUUUUCCAGUAUUUUUAUUAUAAAAAAAUGUUGGUAACUUUAAAAUUAUUUAUUACUUGGUACAAGUUGAAAACGUACUAUAUGUGUGGUUCGCUGACAACUUGUCCAUCUUUAUAUAUUAUGCGCGCAUUUGGUUUGUUAUGCUCUGUGCGAGUAUAUAUUUUUUUUAUGACCUCAGCUCAAGCAAGAAUACCCGCUGAACUUAA